GCGUUCGUGGUGUAGUGGUUAGUACGCUCGACGCCUAACCGAGAGGACCCUAGUUCGAUUCCCGGCGGAUGCG
This 73-nucleotide transfer RNA is filed under the name Stegodyphus mimosarum. It matches the Rfam family "tRNA". Rfam says of the family: Transfer RNA (tRNA) molecules are approximately 80 nucleotides in length. Their secondary structure includes four short double-helical elements and three loops (D, anti-codon, and T loops). Further hydrogen bonds mediate the characteristic L-shaped molecular structure. tRNAs have two regions of fundamental functional importance: the anti-codon, which is responsible for specific mRNA codon recognition, and the 3' end, to which the tRNAs corresponding amino acid is attached (by aminoacyl-tRNA synthetases). tRNAs cope with the degeneracy of the genetic code in two manners: having more than one tRNA (with a specific anti-codon) for a particular amino acid; and 'wobble' base-pairing, i.e. permitting non-standard base-pairing at the 3rd anti-codon position. The record is from Rfam by way of RNAcentral. Lineage: Eukaryota; Metazoa; Arthropoda; Arachnida; Araneae; Eresidae.